AGCGAACGCUGGCGGCAGGCUUAACACAUGCAAGUCGAGCGGGCGUAGCAAUACGUCAGCGGCAGACGGGUGAGUAACGCGUGGGAACGUACCUUUUGGUUCGGAACAACACAGGGAAACUUGUGCUAAUACCGGAUAAGCCCUUACGGGGAAAGAUUUAUCGCCGAAAGAUCGGCCCGCGUCUGAUUAGCUAGUUGGUGAGGUAACGGCUCACCAAGGCGACGAUCAGUAGCUGGUCUGAGAGGAUGAUCAGCCACAUUGGGACUGAGACACGGCCCAAACUCCUACGGGAGGCAGCAGUGGGGAAUAUUGGACAAUGGGGGCAACCCUGAUCCAGUCAUGCCGCGUGAGUGAUGAAGGCCCUAGGGUUGUAAAGCUCUUUUGUGCGGGAAGAUAAUGACGGUACCGCAAGAAUAAGCCCCGGCUAACUUCGUG
RNAcentral lists this ribosomal RNA (435 nucleotides) under uncultured bacterium. Its description in RNAcentral is "partial 16S ribosomal RNA". It matches the Rfam family "Bacterial small subunit ribosomal RNA", at positions 29 to 507 of the family's 1533-position model. The record is from RNAcentral.